This 492-nucleotide ribosomal RNA is filed under the name uncultured bacterium. Its description in RNAcentral is "partial 16S ribosomal RNA". It matches the Rfam family "Bacterial small subunit ribosomal RNA", at positions 29 to 507 of the family's 1533-position model. The record is from RNAcentral.
AGUGAACGCUGGCGGUAGGCCUAACACAUGCAAGUCGAACGACAGCACAGUAAGAGCUUGCUCUUACGGGUGGCGAGUGACGGACGGGUGAGGCAUACAUCGGAAUCUACUUUUUCGUGGGGGAUAACGUAGGGAAACUUACGCUAAUACCGCAUACGACCUACGGGUGAAAGCAGGAGAUCUUCGGACCUUGCGCGAUUGAAUGAGCCGAUGUCGGAUUAGCUAGUUGGCGGGGUAAAGGCCCACCAAGGCGACGAUGCGUAGCUGGUCUGAGAGGAUGAUCAGCCACACUGGAACUGAGACACGGUCCAGACUCCUACGGGAGGCAGCAGUGGGGAAUAUUGGACAAUGGGCGAAAGCCUGAUGCAGCCAUACCGCGUGGGUGAAGAAGGUCUUCGGGUUGUAAAGCUCUGUUGUUGGGAAAGAAAAGCAGCAUGUGAAUACCCCGCUGUCCUGACGGUACCCAAAGAAAAAGCACCGGCUAACUUCGUG